GAUGCGUUCCAUUAGGCAGUUGGUGAGGUAACGGCUCACCAAACCUUCGAUGGAUAGGGGUUCUGAGAGGAAGGUCCCCCACAUUGGAACUGAGACACGGUCCAAACUCCUACGGGAGGCAGCAGUGAGGAAUAUUGGUCAAUGGGCGCAGGCCUGAACCAGCCAAGUAGCGUGAAGGAUGACUGCCCUAUGGGUUGUAAACUUCUUUUAUAUGGGAAUAAAGUUUUCCACGUGUGGAAUUUUGUAUGUACCAUAUGAAUAAGGAUCGGCUAACUCCGUGCCAGCAGCCGCGGUAAUACGGAGGAUCCGAGCGUUAUCCGGAUUUAUUGGGUUUAAAGGGAGCGUAGGUGGACAGUUAAGUCAGUUGUGAAAGUUUGCGGCUCAACCGUAAAAUUGCAGUUGAUACUGGCUGUCUUGAGUACAGUAGAGGUGGGCGGAAUUCGUGGUGUAGCGGUGAAAUGCUUAGAUAUCACGAAGAACUCCGAUUGCGAAGGCAGCUCACUGGACUGCAACUGACACUGAUGCUCGAAAGUGUGGGUAUCAAACAGGAUUAGAUACCCUGGUAGUCCACACAGUAAACGAUGAAUACUCGCUGUUUGCGAUAUACAGUAAGCGGCCAAGCGAAAGCAUUAAGUAUUCCACCUGGGGAGUACGCCGGCAACGGUGAAACUCAAAGGAAUUGACGGGGGCCCGCACAAGCGGAGGAACAUGUGGUUUAAUUCGAUGAUACGCGAGGAACCUUACCCGGGCUUAAAUUGCAUUUGAAUAUAUUGGAAACAGUAUAGCCGUAAGGCAAAUGUGAAGGUGCUGCAUGGUUGUCGUCAGCUCGUGCCGUGAGGUGUCGGCUUAAGUGCCAUAACGAGCGCAACCCUUAUCUUUAGUUACUAACAGGUCAUGCUGAGGACUCUAGAGAGACUGCCGUCGUAAGAUGUGAGGAAGGUGGGGAUGACGUCAAAUCAGCACGGCCCUUACGUCCGGGGCUACACACGUGUUACAAUGGGGGGUACAGAAGGCAGCUACCUGGUGACAGGAUGCU
This 1036-nucleotide ribosomal RNA is filed under the name Bacteroides thetaiotaomicron. Its description in RNAcentral is "bacterial SSU rRNA". It matches the Rfam family "Bacterial small subunit ribosomal RNA", at positions 230 to 1269 of the family's 1533-position model. The record is from RNAcentral. Lineage: Bacteria; Pseudomonadati; Bacteroidota; Bacteroidia; Bacteroidales; Bacteroidaceae.